Molecule: long non-coding RNA, 800 nt
Organism: Jaculus jaculus (lesser Egyptian jerboa)
Lineage: Eukaryota; Metazoa; Chordata; Mammalia; Rodentia; Dipodidae
Exons: 3
Source: RefSeq, a predicted model, not a curated record
GCUGCAGGCUGCUGACAGUCACAUGGUGUUGUAAAGUUCCUGGGAAAUCUGUAGCUCUCAGCAGAGGACCUUCCAGCACCAAUAGGACCAGGAAGCCUAUGGGGCUGGGCUCCCUUCUUUGUGAAAACUUGUACUCUGAGAAGACAUCCUGCCUUGCGUUUCUACACCACCGUCCCAGAAAGGCCAAAGGUGAUGAAGUGAAAAGGCCAACCUCGAGCAACUCCAGAUGACCUGUGACUCACAGUCAUUGAGAAGGGACGUGGCUGCUCUUCAGGAUGGAGGGCAGCGGGCUCUAGCUCAGGGUCCCAGUACUAGCUGCAGGCGGAAGACCUCACUGAAUGAAUCAUGACUGUCCCUGGAGGUGCGAGGCAGAAAAGGCUAAAGGACUCUCAGGAAGUCCAGCUCUAGGAGUAUGGCUGGCUCUGGGAAAGGCUGCAGUGGACGGCUGGUAAGGGGUCAUCCUGAGGAAUUUGAAGCUCUGAGGUAUUUCCGACACAGACAUCUGGACCAGCCUGGCCUGGGCAGACCUGCUGGGUUUGGAGAGCUGGCUUAGGGGUGAUAUGAAGAGGUCAUUUGUCUUUCAAUAGGACUGGGGACAGAGAGGGACAUCCCAUGCCCCUUCUGCGCUCUUUCAUGAAGCUUCUAAGGAAAUUCCAUUGCAUUGUAUUUACAAGACAUCCCCAACUGUCAGCUUCCUUGAACACAAUGUAUUUAAUAAAAAGCCAUUAAGCCUUGUAAAGCUGUCAGAAACCUAAAUGACACUUGUAAUAAAAUCUUGUCGGGUGACCUGUUCCGGUUAA